This 278-nucleotide ribosomal RNA is filed under the name uncultured bacterium. RNAcentral describes it as "partial 16S ribosomal RNA". It matches the Rfam family "Bacterial small subunit ribosomal RNA", at positions 333 to 628 of the family's 1533-position model. The record is from RNAcentral.
GACGGCCUACGGGGCGCAGCAGUAGGGAAUAUUGCUCAAUGGGGGAAACCCUGAAGCAGCAACGCCGCGUGGAGGAUGAAGGUUUUAGGAUUGUAAACUCCUUUUGUGAGAGAAGAUAAUGACGGUAUCUCACGAAUAAGCACCGGCUAACCCCGUGCCAGCAGCCGCGGUAAUACGGAGGGUGCAAGCGUUACUCGGAAUCACUGGGCGUAAAGAGUGCGCAGGCGGGCUUGUAAUUCCGAUGUGAAAUCCUGUAUCUUACCUACACAACUGCAUUU